This 253-nucleotide ribosomal RNA is filed under the name uncultured bacterium. RNAcentral describes it as "partial 16S ribosomal RNA". It matches the Rfam family "Bacterial small subunit ribosomal RNA", at positions 524 to 776 of the family's 1533-position model. The record is from RNAcentral.
UACGUAGGGCGCAAGCGUUGUCCGGAAUUAUUGGGCGUAAAGAGCUCGUAGGUGGUUUGUUACGUCUGCUGUGAAAACCUAGGGCUUAACCCUGGGCCUGCAGUGGAUACGGGCAGACUAGAGGUAGGUAGGGGAGAAUGGAAUUCCCGGUGUAGCGGUGAAAUGCGCAGAUAUCGGGAGGAACACCGGUGGCGAAGGCGGUUCUCUGGGCAGUAACUGACGCUGAGGAGCGAAAGCGUGGGGAGCGAACAGG